This 22-nucleotide microRNA is filed under the name Drosophila pseudoobscura pseudoobscura. Its description in RNAcentral is "mir-2562-RB". The record is from RNAcentral. Lineage: Eukaryota; Metazoa; Arthropoda; Insecta; Diptera; Drosophilidae.
UUAACAUCUUCACUUGAUUUGC